CGGACGGGUGGAGUAACGACGUGGAGAACCUGCCGUAUACUGGGGGAUAACACUUAGAAAUAGGUGCUAAAACCGCAUAAGCGCACAGCUUCGCAUGAAGCGGUGUGAAAAACUCCGGUGGUGUAAGAUGGACCCGCGUCUGAUUAGCUUGUUGGCGGGGUAACGGCCCACCAAGGCGACGAUCAGUAGCCGGCCUGAGAGGGCGGACGGCCACAUUGGGACUGAGACACGGCCCAGACUCCUACGGAAGGCAGCAG
RNAcentral lists this ribosomal RNA (257 nucleotides) under uncultured bacterium. RNAcentral's name for it is "partial 16S ribosomal RNA". It matches the Rfam family "Bacterial small subunit ribosomal RNA", at positions 99 to 354 of the family's 1533-position model. The record is from RNAcentral.